Molecule: ribosomal RNA, 792 nt
Filed under: Marasmius sp. MCA1708
Lineage: Eukaryota; Fungi; Basidiomycota; Agaricomycetes; Agaricales; Marasmiaceae
Description: eukaryotic LSU rRNA
Rfam family: 5.8S ribosomal RNA (bases 228-381)
Source: RNAcentral
UGAAACAUUGUAGAGGGAGGUUCUAGAGCUGGCUCUUCACGGGGCAAGUGCUCGCCUUUCUCUCAAUCUUCAUCCACCUGUGCACCUUUUGUAGAGAGACUUGUUUCGAGAAAGGGAGCCCGUAAAACGGUUCCUCGGUAUCGGGGAAGGCCUUUCUAUGUUUUCACACACUCUGAACGUAUGUCUUGAAUGUCUUUUUAAUAGGGGAAACCCUUUAAAAACUAUACAACUUUCAGCAACGGAUCUCUUGGCUCUCGCAUCGAUGAAGAACGCAGCGAAAUGCGAUAAGUAAUGUGAAUUGCAGAAUUCAGUGAAUCAUCGAAUCUUUGAACGCACCUUGCGCCUCUUGGUAUUCCGAGAGGCAUGCCUGUUUGAGUGUCAUUAAAUUCUCAACUUCAAAAGCCUUGUGCUUUCUUGAAGCUUGGAUGUGGAGGCCUGCUGGCUCGCUUCAGAGUCGGCUCCUCUUAAAUGCAUUAGUGGAGACUGUUUUGUGGCCCACAUUGGUGUGAUAAUUAUCUACGCUUCUGUUGGCUGCGAAGCUCUGUAGUGUUCGUAUGGGAAGCUGCAUUAAUAGUGCUCUUUCUGCUUUUUGAAUGACCUACACGAGUCUAGUAUCUGCUUCAAACCGUCCUCUCGGGGACAACUUUUGACUAUUUUGACCUCAAAUCAGGUAGGACUACCCGCUGAACUUAAGCAUAUCAAUAAGCGGAGGAAAAGAAACUAACAAGGAUUCCCCUAGUAACUGCGAGUGAAGAGGGAAAAGCUCAAAUUURAAAUCUGGCAGUCUUUGAU